UACGUAGGGGGCAAGCGUUGUCCGGAAUCAUUGGGCGUAAAGCGCGUGUAGGCGGCUGAGUAAGUCUGCUCUGAAAGCCCGGGGCUCAACCCCGGGAGGCGGGUGGAUACUGCUCAGCUCGAGUCCGGAAGAGGAGUGUGGAAUUCCUGGUGUAGCGGUGAAAUGCGUAGAUAUCAGGAGGAACACCGGUGGUGUAAACGGCUUUCUGGACCAUAACUGACGCUGAGGCACGAAAGCGUGGGUAGCAAACAGG
RNAcentral lists this ribosomal RNA (253 nucleotides) under uncultured bacterium. Its description in RNAcentral is "partial 16S ribosomal RNA". It matches the Rfam family "Bacterial small subunit ribosomal RNA", at positions 524 to 776 of the family's 1533-position model. The record is from RNAcentral.